CUGUGCUGAAAGAGAAAUUUGGAAGGAAGACCUGAGUGCAUGAAAGGAACAGAACUCCAGCUUCACUGUGAAUAUUGGAGAGACAACACUGUUCAUGCAGAGGACAUAUAAAACACAAACUAACCCAAGCUGCCCAACUCACGUCUCCGUCAGCAAGAAGUGCAGGAGGUCCUCCUUCCAGCCUGCUCCUUUCUGCAGAGCCUAUGCCAGCACCUGGUGACUACUGGAGCACAACAAGAUCAAUGUCAGGACAGCAUUAUUCACUCUAAUAUCAAUGACCUGGAAGAAGCCAUGUAAAAGGAUGGAACCUGCCAAUGGCUCAGUAUGGGAGGAGGUUUGCAAGGAGGAAAUAAAAGCAAGAGUGAAGCCACUCAGAGUGACUUGGCUUGGCACAGCAAUGGGAGCAGUUCAACACAGAGGAAGCAGAGCGCAUCUGGGGAAAAUCAAACAACAACAGCAGCAAAUAUAACACCACAGAUCCCACAAUCUUAUUUGGUUCUGCAUGAUGGACUCAGACAGAGCAGUAAUUUGAGAUACUAUAAAUGUACAUAUUGUUAAUGAAGAGUCGUAGAAUCAAAGAAUCAUAGAAUGGCCUGGUUUGAAAAGGACAACAGUGAUCAUCCACUUCCAACCCCCUGCUAUGUGAAGGGUCACCAACCAGCAGACCAGGCUGCCCAGAGCCACAUCCAGCCUGGCCUUGAAUGCCUGCAGGGAUGGGGCAUCCACAGCCUCCUUGGGCAACCUGUUCAGUGCGUCACCACCCUCUGGGUGAAAAACUUCCUCCUAAAUUCUUCCUGAAUCAAUGACUUUGGUGGGAGGUUUUCUCACAUAAAAGCUCCAGAAUUUGGUCCUAGGUUGAACCGUUUGGGCAGCACCAGAGGAACUGAGAUGAUUGUCCCACCGCUGCUGCGCCAGGCUGACUCCCAGCACCCCAGGAAAAUCUCCUUGGAAAAUCCCAGUGAUGGUUUAUCUGAAAUUAAUUUGCCCACAUUGUUAAGUCAAUUACCCAAAGGAGCAGAGACUCGAUUAAAAAUCUAUUUAGUUCAAUAGGAAACAGUAUACAAUUUUUUUCUCUCCUUGAGUGCAAAGAAUCUUGUUGUAUCCCUGUAUAGAUGAUAAAGGUAGUGCACUACCCACUCCUGCACAAGCAUGACUGAGCAGGCAGAGGUCUGUGUCACCGGCACCGGAGAGAGACGACACGAGGGAUGUGGCAGACAAGUGGGGUCUGUCCCCCGCUGGCACCUGGAUGCUGACCCAUCCCGCCAGGAGGUCGCUGCACCCGUCUCACUCAGAGAAACUCUCCUGUUGUCAAGCCUACAGCAAACUGUGUCCAGACAGAUUGGUGUUCUGCUCAAAGGAGCCCGCAUGAAUCAUGUAUUAGUUCAUUUAAAAGCACUUUGUAGACAAACAUGCUCACUCUAUCAGCAGGCACGGGGAUGCAAAUACUUCACUGGGUGUAUAUGAGCCUUGACAGGACAUCUGUGAUGCAUGGGAUUGAGAAACAGCUCGCUCCAGAAAGAUCAGGCAAUAAUGAGCAAAAAGGCUCACCGUAUUUUGUUCUUUUUAUUUUUUUCUGCAAGAUGAAAAUUUAACUUUGCCAUCGUGUUGGAAGCAGAGUAAACACUAUCAACAGAAAGCCAGCAGCAGGGAGAGGUAAAUGAUUUACAAGAUAUUCUUCAAUCAUUUAGCAGGAAGGCAGAAGGUUUUGGUUGAGGGUCCCGAAUACUCUUGCAGAAGGCAACAACCCCCCAGCAGUGUCUAUGCUGAUACAGCUGCUGUGCAGGAUCGUCCUUCAGAGGUGAGGAGGAAAUUGAACCAGUUAGACUGGGGAGAUACUAAUGGCAGCUUUGGUACUCUCGCUGCUUGGCAGAUGCUGAUUGCUCCCUGUAAAUGAAAACAAGCUAAUGAGUGUGUGCAAUAGCAAAAUAUUUGGUGGACUCUCAUUAGCAGAUAGAGUAUGUGGAAUUAAUUUCGCCGAGAUAAUUGUAGAAUAAUUUAUUUGCAUAGAAAAUCUAGUUUGUGGAAAGCAUCCUGGAAGAGAUUCAGACCUGCAUGGACUUUGUCUAUAAAUGGUUCCAAAUUAAUUUGAUUCAGAGAGAAAACACUGUAGUAUUAUAAACACUGUAAGCACGGGUGUCAAAGACACGCUUACUCAAUAUGUGACAUGAAGAACAUUACUUUCCACUUCUGCCCUGAGGUUGGUUGCUGGUGCAGAGAUGUCUUCACGAUGAUUACAGCACGAAGCCACCAGUCAUGUGCAUGUAUGUUUGCUAAUUUUUGUCCCAUUUCUUUUAAAUCACAGUCACACACGUGUGACUCUCCCACUCACAGUAAGCGACACAAACCUCUCAUCCCUCUACAUUUUGUGGAUGUUUGGUUUUGGGUUUUCAGAAAAUGCAGGAAUUCAUUUCUUCUCCUGAAAUCCUAAUUUUACCUUAGCAAUAAAACAAGUACUGGCAGUAGUAAUUCAGGCAAACAGAGUAUUGUUACUGUUCCCAGAAAGGCAAUAUAUUUGAAUAGCUCUGCAUAUUUAGCAAGGAAGAUGUGUUUUGAGCAAUUUUUAAUAAAGUAAUAUUUUAUAUUUCCCAUUUCACCCUUGCAGGAAACUGCAGAGAUCAGUUCUGGAUUGAGAUUGCGUCCCCAGCCUUGGAUCCUUUAACGUCCCAGAAGGCACACAUGAAAAAAGAAAAAUCCCCCUACUUACACUGUGAAGAGGUGCUAACAGCUUUAAAGAAUUACCCACCAAAUAUUAGGUGCAAUUUAAAACUACAUUUAAAGCAGCACGGGUAGUUUAAAAGUCUACGUGGCCGGCUAAAAGUCAGAGAGAGAAAAUUGCUUGAACACGUGUUGGAUGAAUUUCUGUCUGCGUGGGAGAUAUCGCACCAGUGGGGUAAUAUACCCUCCUUUUUCAAAAAAAAAGAGGCAGAUCCUUUAUCUGGUCUUUUGCAUGCUGUGUGAUUCCAAACCUGGGCAAAAGCCUUCAGCUCACUUCCAUUUACUACUCACAGAACACAACUCUGCUAUCUAAAAAUCGUGGAAGAUUAUUUAUAGUGAAAGACAACCUUAGGCUAAACUAUUAAGUGAGGAUAAUGGAUAUGAGCCACCUAAGGCGUGUGGAGGGCUCCUUAAUGAAUUACUGGAUAAAACAAAGUCAGAUGCGCUCAGGUAGCGUCCAGUUCAAGCAGUGUGCUGUUAGAGGGCCAAGGAAGGCUCACCUCAUGUCAAGACCUGGAAACUGCACCACAGAGUGUUCCAGGCAUUGCCCUACACCCACUUCGAGGUCUCUUCAAGGGCUGCUCAGAUCAUCCUCUACAAUAUUUACUCAGCUUAUUGUAUGCUGUAUCAAUUUAAAGGUGCGCUGUAACUUAUUAGAUAGUUAUUAGCUUCCAUUUUUAGCCCUGAUCUAUUUCAUAGACCCUGAUGCCCCCUAUUUUAUGUAAGAAAGGACGUUUUAAUAGAUAUAAUCUAAAUUAGUUGGUAACUCGAUAACUUGUUCCAGUCUGCUUCUCUAAUGAAACCUGCAUUAAUGACCGCCUUCAGUAGGCAAUCUCGAACUUUAAGAAGGCACUUUAAAAUAUUCAUAACAUUUCUGGUGCAGUGUUGUUUGAACUGUAUUUAACAGACAUCUCAAAUGGGCGUUCUGGUGCUUUGCAGGAGUCAUUGUCAAUAAUGACUUUUGCAGCCCUGUCUUUGGGGCCAGGGCAGUAAUUUUGGUCGUGGCCAUGGGGCCAAGUCCCCAUGUGUCCCGUGUACUGGGCCAGAUGUGAGGAAAAAAGCAACAAAUUAAGUAAUAGUCCACACUGUAAUUGGGAAUAAACUUCCUGGAGGAUUAGUCAAGGCACAAAUUUCUGAAAGACUUUAAAAAAAUAACUGACAGAAGGUUUACUUGUAACCUAAAAUCUUUCAAAAAGGGAAAAGAGUCAAACUGCAAUAAUUAAUAUUAAAUACUUAGUGUGCAAUUAAUGGUAAUUAUAUAUAUAAAAAAAGCAACCAAUUAAAUGCUGCAACAUAAUGCACCCGAAAUCUUGUAAACGAGUGGCAUUUGUAGCAAAUGCUAAGAGCUCCUUUAAGCCAGUCACUUCUUAAAGGCUUUUGCUUUGGGAAUAAGUGUUACCUUAAUACAUUUACUUAGAUACGAUGAAAGUCAGACUUAACCUUUGCACAGUUGAAAUAACUUUAGCAACAAAACAAUGGAGUAAAUGUGAACCUCUUCUGCAAAUGCAAAUGGUAAUGCAAUCAGUGCUCAGUAAAUAAAUAUAAACACGUUUGAGCCAUAAACUGACCAGUAGCUGUUAUAGGGGUUGUCCUGAUCCCUGCUGAGCAGAGGUGGCAUCCAUAACCAGGUGCUCCUGGGACACUGAAAUGCUAUUCUGCAUCGCCUCUUCUAUCAGCUAUUACAAAAUAAAUCCAAGUCUAACUCAGUGAGAAUUCCCAAGGAGAAGAGAGUGCUAAAUGGGUUUUAAACAGUCCAAACCCCAGUGCAUGAGCAGAAUUUGGGCCAAAAGUCCUGCCAGGGGCCAGUCAGCAGGAGCCCGCUGCCAAGUGCUGAUCCUUAGAUCAACACCUCAUCCGUAAGAGGAGCCCAGUCUGGAAAUCAAAGGAAGCCCACCAGAAAAAAAAAAAAAUGUAAAAAAAAAAAAGCCAUAAAUCUGUGUUGGCUCCCAGCCCAGUGUGAUCUUACAGUAUGUUUUUGCUGAUGCUGCUUCUGGGAUGGGACAAAGGAAAUGGAUGACACGGAGAUGUCGGUGGCAGGAAGACCACCAGAUUGCCCGUAAAGAAGCAGCAGGCAGCGGGUGUAUGUGACAGGGCUGUCAUGGGGCUACAAGUUCAUCCCUCCAACUAUUUUUCUGCCUUGUGAGGUUUGCAGCAGCUCAGCUGCAACAUCUAAAGUGUGCUGGGAAGGGCUCUGUUGGAGAGGUGCAGUGCUGUGUGCUGGCAACGAGUGGAAGAGCAGCAGGGCUCACUUCAACGAUGGUUCUGUGAAAGCAGAAAGCAUCCCAACAAGUGGAAGGGACCUGAGGUUCUGCCACUGCAAAAUCAACAUCAGAUUCUGCUGAAAUUCCCUUGGGCAGUUACGGAGUGGGUAUUUCUCUGAGAGAUGUCCAAAUUGGAUGCACAGCACACCCAAAAACCAGGACUACAUCCCCCAAAAAUAUGGACCAGUGUUACGUCUCCGCUCCUCUUGUAAGCAGCUCCUCUGCAAACACAUCUGAACUAUUUCACUUACAGGCUUUGGUUUUAGCAAUUCCUUACUUAGUAUUUCUAAGGACUCAUCUGUAGGAUAUUAUAUAAACAUAAAUAUAUAUAAAAUAACAGAUAAUUACAGUAAGUUACAAAUGUGCGUUCUUCAUCAGCAGUACCAGUGAAGGAGGACACAGUUAACCAGUCAAAAAGGGUGACCAAAUCUUGUUUCUUUUCUUAAAGAAAGAGAUCAACCAAACCUGUUAAUCCAUUUGUUGCUUUCUGCUCUUCUUUUUGCGUAGUUGCUUUCAUUUUUUAUUUGCUUUCAUAUGCACAAGAGAAUGAAAAUCUGUUUGCGGCUGGAACUUCUACAGCACAUCACGUAUUUUCUUUCUUUUUUCUUAUUAUUUUUUGUCUCCCAUAAUUAUUUUUCCAGAGAGCUGCUUUUCCAAUCAGGUCACCAACUCUGAAAAACAAAACUUCAAGGCAACGUUUUGAAAAAUUGGACCUCACUUUUCUUUCAGUAGAAAGAUUCACAUCAUUCGUGUGCAAGCCAAGGCUCAAAAAUAACAUAAAUCCUUUCAGUGCCGUCUCUCUCUUUGCCUGUGUAACAGAUAUCUCUGCUAACAUUUACUUUUGUAAUUUUUCACAUUGUUCUAGCUCUCAGAGGUUAAUAUUUACCAUUCAUUUUGGUAUUCACAAGCUACAGAGGUAAGCUUGCAAAUAUCUGCCUUGGGAAAAUGAGCAGUUCUGCCAGAAAAUAUGUUCAGGUUUCUUGGUGGAACUGUGGGAGACAACACUCCAUUGACAGCAUUUCACUGCAUUCAUCUGUUCGUGCUUUAAACAUCUGCGCCAUCAAUUCGUACAGUACAACAAUUGGUAUUUUGAAGGGAUAACCAGAUAAUUACAGCAAAUGUUUAUUAGUCUCUUUGAACGGCGAGCAUGCAUUGGGAAAAAAAAGUAAGCAAGCUUAUGAAAGAAUACAGGGAACACAGACAUGUUUGGGAAGUCACUGCUAUUAUAUCCUUACACCAACCAGGCAGUCGUUCUGUGGUUGGCAUCUGCACACACAGACAGUGCCGUGUGCUAGCAAAAUUCAUCAUAAGACAGAGCUGCCUGCACAAGCUGACCCACUGCUUGCAAUAAUAUCAAAUCCUAAAUGAAUUAAUUUGCUUGCUGACCAAGUAGUUUGCCAUAUUAAAGUGCAAGUUUGCAAGACAUGUAUUCUAUUAUCCCAGAUUGCACUCCUGACACUUUACAUUAUGAACAUUUAGUGUUCUUCCUUUGAUAUUUUGAACACUGACUACAAUGAAGCUGUCAGCACAAAGGAAUUUUUUAUUCAAUUUUCAGAUGUAACAAGCAAGGAUCUUACAGGAACUUCAUUAAGACUAUGGAAACAAUAGGGAUUCAAUUAUCUAGCUAUGGAAGACAGAAGAGUAUCUUGCGAUGGGCACAGUAAUCAGAGAUACGAAACAGUUUGUGGGGAGAGGAGAGGAGCAAUUUUACUUGGUUUCUAACAUGUGGAAAACAGUAUUUACUCCAAAUGCUCAUUUAGUCCAAGUGCUCAUAGUGACUAAGAGAGUGAUGAUUUACUCGGAGGCUGCACUAAGCUUGUACUGCUCUUGUCACCAUGAUCUAACGCUGGUAGUACAUUGUGAGCAAGCAGAGAUCAUUGAUUAACACUGCCAGACAGCUGCGUUGGAAUCAUCAAGUCAAUACUCUGUGCUCUUGGUCAAAAAAAAAAAAAAAAAGAAGAAGAAGAAGAAAGAAAAACUCCAACACAAAAAUAAUAACGAAAGAAGAGAUUGCUGCAUUUUUAUCAGCACGAGCUAUGUAAUCUAGAUUUAGUCAUCCACAGGGAGGGCAAAACUCCCACAGGGAGAGCAAAUUUGUUUUGUCACAUCUUUGCAUGUAGCUAAAAUUCGAGCACUAGUACUAAUUCCCCUAAAGCAGGCUGCAGCCCACCCAGCCUCCUGAGGCAAGAGGAGACCAGAUAUGAAUGCAUAUAUGUAUAUAUAUUUACAGACCACAUGAAACUAAAUUUAAUAAACAUUCCAGGAAGGAACGGACUUGGCAGAAUAGCCAGACAAUGAAAUAAAGUUUUUUUACUGCAUGGUUGUGUUUUAAGACCUUGCAGAAAAUGAACUCCUCAGCGAUUGCAUUCUGAUGGCUCUGGGAAUGCUUUUCAGUGUGCCAUAUUGUAUCACUUUCCACUGGACAGUGAUUGUUUUAAAGCCACAACAUAAGACACAAAUAUUUGAUUAAAAUGAAUUCCACCCUAAAAGUCUGGGUGUUCUUUUUUUAGGGAUUCAGAUGCAAAAAAUGAGCUGACUGUGGUCUGCUGAGGUCCCAGCAGUAUUGUCUGAUGCAAAAGUUCAGCUGUACAGGGAUUCAUUUGGAGUACUCACCGCCACUGAAAAUAGUAAUAAACAGUGUUUUGCAAUGGUCUUUGCAUUUCUUUAUCUGUCCUUAUUGUGUCUGAGAUGCAGAGAUGAGAACACUGCUUUAUCUCAUCUGCUUCAUCAGAGCUGCAAUUGGAGCAUAUACAAGCAAUAGUGUUUUAAAGUGCCACUAGAAUUGUAGCUCUAUCCAGGUUACACGAUAAAAUAACAAAUGAGAGAAAGAAUACUGGAGGUCGUGGAAAUACGGACCUAUAAAGAUACACCUCGGAUUCCCAUGCAUACUCAAGUAACAAGGUAGGACUGCAGGGAACAAGUUGAUGGCUUUCUCCGUGCAGCACUGCAGACAAUGAUGCUUUUUCACUCAAAUUCAUUUGCUUAUGGGGAACCAGGGAAAUUUUGACGAGAACUGGCCAAAGCUUAAUCUUUUCAGUCUAUAAAAAAUUUAAACAGUUUGCUCCCAUUUCAUAAAUGUUGACAUUUCCCACAGAGGGAGAAAAUAUCAUAUCAGAAUGUUUCCUUAAAAAGAAAUAGGAAAGGGCCCUGCGAUGGGUCUGCGAAGCUUGUUGAAUACCCAAUCUGCCAGGAGCCAACAGCAUGGGGUCUGCUUGACCAGCGGCUGGAGCACUCCUGGGAGCUGAGGCCUCACUUCAAAAGGGUUCAGCACAGCUCACAGCAGCCCCACACUGGCAGAGGAAGAGCUGGGUGAUGUGGAGGGGCCUCUAAAAGCUGUAACCCCUGGGCUCGGUCUCUCUGGCAAACUAUGAGGUAAGCAAGCUGCUGACUUAAGUACAAAGUGAUCUUCUCUCUGGGCAUCAAUGGGUGCUUCUGCAAAGUGUUUCAGCUUCAAGGAGUCUUUAUGGAUAAAAUAAAUAUAAAAAUAAAAUAAAAAAAAGCAAAGCAUUUCUCCUUGCCGUUUCAUUAGAGGCUGCUAAAACCCACAAGCACCACGUCAAGAAGCAGAGCUGUGGGAGGUGCCAUGCCUGCCUUUACACUGGGAUUGAUCUCACGUACAGCUGGGAUUAGCAGUGGGCUGAGUCAUAUUCCAGUCAUUUCCUUCCAGAGAAAAGGGAAUAAAGAACGGGCCUGACACUGAGUUGUGGUACUCCUACCCCAUGUUUUUGAUUGCGUGUGAGGUCCUGGUGCUUCUACAUGGCCAAGGUCAAAGGGAAAGCCCACAAAGCUCCACUGGGUUGCAGAAGUGACCUCUGUGGAGUUGAGGUCUGGAUGUCUAAAUAGGAUGGGAUUAGCUAUUCCACAGCACACCUGAUGUAAUGCAGCUGAGCAGGAGAACCAGAACAGUAGCUUUUUCUUCUGCCAUUUAACAUACCUCAUAACCCUGAGGACAUUGUCUUAACCAAAGGCUUGAACUCUGGAUGAAUUGUAAUUCUCACAGCAUCGAAACCCAGGAGAGUGCAAUGCUUGCCAGAAAGAUCCUGAAGGGGAGAAGAAAAAAAAAAAAAUGAACAAACUUGAUAAUUAUGGUUAAAAAAAAGAGAGAGAGAGAGAGAGAAUAUGCACAUCCAUAGUUUUGCUAAGUUUGGGGUUGACGAGAAGAAUCAAAGUGGUAGCCUGGAGAGAAAAUCUGUAUUUGAGGUGUGAGGUUAACUGACAAAAAAAAUCAAACUUAAGACUGAAGUGCAUAACUUAAAGAACAACUAAAACCUACAAGGAACCUUUCAAGAAAAAAAGCAUCAGAUUACAUUUUAUGACCAAGAGGCAAAGCUAAGAAAAAUAUUUCAAACAGAAGAGCUGUUAUUUUUGUAGCUUUGAAACAAUACGUAACUAGCACAGAAGAUAAUACGAUACAAGACAGGUAAUCCAAUCAUUUAAGAGUUUACGGCUGCAGUCUUCUCCACAAGAGAGAUUCGACUGUGCUUCGUCUCUUUCCAUAAAUGAAUAAAUUCGGGAAAUCGUAAGCACGGGUAUUCGGAUUUGUUUUCUCUUUCGAGGCUUGAAAAAAUCAGAGCCAGUGGCCUUGAGUGCUGCAGGAGACCUUCCACAGUGAGCCUGUAUUGCAUCCACACACAAAGCAAAAUUAAUCCGAACGGCACUGCUCCCCCAGCACGCUUUCUUUAAUAAUUUGAUUUCAUCAUCAAGUUUAAUUGCAGAUUUCAAAGUUCUUUACCUGCGCAAUCCUGAGCUGAUACCGGAGCCUUCAACACACCCAGCUGAAUCGUUCCUGGUUCCCAAUGUAACUUUGCUCUUAUGCUGUGAGUCCCUGCAUUGGGUCCAGGUGCCCAUAAUGGAAGCCUCCGGGUGGGAUUAUCUUCCCAGGGCCACCUGGGGAGGAACCCCUCCUGGUACACAAAGGGUUCACACCGACCAGGGGAAAAGGAGAGUCAAAUUGCUCUCUUAUCUUUUGGAGUGAUUCUUUCAGCCAUUUGGCUUAAAAACAAUUGCUUUGUGUUGGAAAUGUUCUACUUUUCAGAAAACAGUGACAUCGUUGCAGCUAAGAAUACAUGGCUAUAAGCAAUUAGUGCGUUUCUUUGGGAGAAAGGAGAGCUUUACCAAGUUGGAGGGCUAACUUGUUUCUUUUAGAUCUACCAGCCAUUGAGGGAAACGCAGACAAGUUGCAAGUGCGGAGACCAAAAUUUGUGCUGUGAUCAUUUAGGAAAGAACACAGAACUGCAACAGUUUCCUCAGCCUUCUAUCCCUCUGCCUGGGGGAGACGGCAAGUAAACAGCUACCUUAGACAAAGGACUGAGGCUGUGAGCCACAGAGGAAGGCUGGGGGAGGUGUGGGAUUUGGGUGCUGUAGCAUCCGCAUAUCCCAUUGAUUAGUUUGGGCACUCAGGACCUUUGCUGUCACAGGUAAGUAGGGCUUUCCAAGAUGCUAAACACUCCCCAGGCGCUGCAGAGGCAGCCCAGGCAUCUAAAUUAGAGCUGUGUGCUCUUCUCCUGGGAGGUGGGGUGCGGCAGUUGUGUGCCACUGAGCGCGGUGCAGGAAAGUCCCUUCGUGCAUCAGUGCAAUUGAUGGAGCUCAGGUUGGGAAUACGAUUUUGAAGGCCACCUCCCAGGUGUCCCCGACUGAGCUGGCAUCACACAGCCAGCACGGAGCACACAGACUGCAUCUUUUUGGGUGAAGCUAAACCAGAAGAAGUGUUCCAGGCUGUCGUGGGUUUGCAGUUUGCAGGACUGGGCUCGCUGUCAUCGUGAUCACCUUGGAAAGGCUUUUGUUGAGAACAUCUGGUACUCAGUACCAACAGCUUCACUGAACCGAUCUGCUCCAAUGAGUCAUUGCCAUUGGCAGUGCAGCCUUUGUGAAGCAGCUUUACUAACCAAAGAUGUUUGAUAACACCACUCCUUGCUCUUCUAGAGAAGAUAUUCUUCUCUGUUCAGGCAUCGGAGCAGAGGGCAGAAGUUGAGGGCUGUCACUGCACUGCAUCACUCCUUACACCCAAAGAUUUCCAGAGGCCUGUAAACCACAGCCUGGAACAUGCACAGACAUUGCCCAUGUUUUAAGCAGGAGUAACAAAAGUUCAGUACAAUGUCAGAAACAAAAUGGGAACAGACACCUAACUCAGCUUUCACCCAGCAGCUACUAUUAAUUAAACAAAUCUGAUGUCUGAUUAACCUCACAUAAAAUUCUGUGAAUGACAUGAGUUCUCCUCCAUAUGUGGCGCUGGAAAUCUCCCACCAUUUCUAGAAUAAUUCAGCAGUGGGGAUACGAGCAGAGCAGGAAGACCAAACGGCAGUAAAAGAGCAGGAGGAAAUUGGCUGCUGCUUUACCAAUUUCCUGUUGGGGCUCUUCAGGCUGUAUUGCUCAGGACAACCAUUACAAAGGGGUUUGCAGCUCUGGAAAGCUUUUAUUGACCUCUCUGUAAAUACAAAAUGGCCCGUGAAUUAAACGGGAGGGUCACUCUGAGGAAGUUCAACAGACUUGGCAGAUUCUUGGGAAUAAGCAAGAGCAGGGAUCAAGAGGACUGAUUGAAAAAGUGCAGUUAUUGUGCAGAAGAUUCCUUUUCUUGGGAGCAAGCUGCACAGGGUGUUCUAGGCCAGGAUUUACAAGCCCAAUGAAGGGUGUUGGUUUUUCCCCUUCCAUGCCAAAAAUGUCGGAUAAAGACAAACUAGAUUUACAAGCAACUGUCUGGAUGCUGACAAGACAUUUGCAAAUGUCACCCAUGCAAUCCCCUUUUCUACCCACGUGUGCACGCACCUUCCCACAAGUCACAACCCUGCUCAUGAAAUGGGACCUGGGCAUUGGCAGAGCUCAGCUCACCUGACCAUGCAGCUUUCCCCAGCUUUGCAAGCUACUCCUCUAAUUACAUCAAAAAUUGACCAAAAAGAGCUUUGUGAAAACACUUGGUUUAUCUCUCUCUCCUCUUUCUGUUUUCUUCCUUUUUGUUAGCACUGCACAAUCAAUAUUUUCUUUCCGCUUCUUUUUGCAAGGACUCAGAACAAGUUGCAACCAUUACCUUUACAUGAAUUCCCUUGUUAGUACUGGAAACUGUUUCAUCCAAGUGAGCACUGUGUGUCUUUGUUUGAAAUUAGCUUCUUCAAUUAGUUAAAAAAGCAGAAGAGAUAAGGAUUCUCCUGCACAUCUGCAUGCUAACAUUUUUAUUUGUCCUUUGCUCACAUUUGUUUUAAUCAGCGAUGACUGAAAAUCCAAGGAGUUUUGCAGGAGAUCCACAGAUUCUUGAUUUGGAUCAUGAUGUCCUUGAUAAAAGCCUAUAUCAAAUAAAAGGAGUUCUUGCUACUUAAUGUUCCCAGUAAAUUAGUGCUGUGGAUAUUAGAGAGAAGCCUGACCAUGAAAGUUUUGAAAAGAUAUCUAUGUUUCAUCUUGAGAGUAUUAAAAAUAUUUUAAGGCAAGAAGUUACAAUUACCUUGGAAAUUUAAUACAUUCAUUUCACCUAGAGACUCCAUUUCAGAGCAGCGCAAAUCUCCCUAACCUCUUCUGUUAGCACUCUAGUUUUUAAGCAGGAAACCCACUUUAGGAUGUGCUGACAGAGUCAGCUUUUCUGUAACAAGCUCCAAAGGAAAACACAAUUAUUACAGUGUGCUCAUUGAUCACGUUUCAUUUUGAGGGAGAAGUCUCUGACAAGGACAGUGUGACUGAAAUCUGUAGAAGCAUGGAUGGGUGCUGCCUCCAAAGCCCAUUGGGGCUGCCUGCGCCCCACAUCCCUGCUGCAUCCCCCCUGGUUCGACCACCUUGCUGCUAUCCCCAACUCACAGCCACAGUGGACAUAGCCUUCAGUGUGGGAUGGAGCUACCUCAUUGGGGUUUGCAAAAACAGUUUAGUGCCUGUAAAAUUUCAGCUUAACCACCUCUUGGUGCUAAGCCUCGAAAAUAUUACCUGACAAAUAAUAAAAAAGGCCAUGUUAGUUUAGUUACCUCCUCUUACAAGCACUGAUUUCAAAAAGCCACCUGUCCUUGGGUGCUGCUCCCCAUCUUCUGUGCCCAUCUGCACCAGGACCCCGUGGAAGGUACUGACUGAAUGCUGUCCGGAAGCAAACUAUGUUUGUCACAGCAAGCUUUCUCAGGAGCUUUCCUGCAGAAAUCCAGCACCUGACAAGCUGACGAAGCCAAGAGGCAUUUGGAAUUGUGAAGUGUGAAUGAAAGUUUCUUAGGUCUUGCUGUGCCUGAACUCAAGGCAUGAAGGAAAGCAAAGGCCUGGGAAGAAAAUAAGAAGGUGCGCUUGUGUGAACCACAAUAUGUGCUUCCUAAUUUUACACCUACUGCUACAGUAUCCUGUGUAAGAAAGUAAAAUCCCUCGGGGAGGUAUCAGAAGUAGAUUAACCUUAAACCUGAUCAGUAGUUGGUUAUAGGACAACUGGGCAGCAAUGGGAUUGCUCCACAGUGAGUAACUCCCAGACUGGGGACAUCAUCAUGUUCCAGGUCUUACUGGCAAUUGCCUCCAUGCCAUACACACAAAGCCUGUAAAAUUGUGUGCCAGCACAGGAUCAAUAAAUUCCAUUCAGCCUGAGAAAUCUUCCAAAAUCAGAAAACCGAUGAGCUCUUCUUUGACUGGUGAUUGCCAAACAUUAAUGACCUGGAAAGGCUGACCAGCAGGCUGAGCAAUGAGCGUGUGCGUGAGCUGUGCGUGUGCGUGGAGAAGAGAGAACAUCUUCAAAGGUGGGAGCCUCACCUGCGGGUCUCCCGAGCCCUCUCAGGUAUGAAAUGGAAGGCUUAGUCGAUUUGUAAAAAUGGGGAAAUGGACAGGCUUCACAGAACCAGAAAUUGAUAAAAUGUAAAAAUCUAUGUUUAUUUUAAUUUCCUGUGGCAACCUGGAAGUUGGAGAAGAUCCUGCCAGUUUUCAGUCUUGAAGGUGCGUAUACAAAAUCAUGGAUGCAAUAGUAAAAUGAUUACAUUAAAUCAGUAAUAAAUUUAGAAGUGUGCACUCCCAUAUUUCACACUAAUUUCUGUGUCAUCCAAAAAAAAAACAAAAACAAAAACAAAAAAAACCCCACAAAACAGCCAAAAAAAAAGAAACAAACAAACAAAAAAAACCCUAAUAUAGUGGAAAGAGAGAAUUGCCCCAAACCUCUGAGAAAGAAGGAGAAUAUGAAGACUGGAUGCAAAAAGUUGUUCUCGGAAUGCCUUCAGGCCUGAUUUUUAUUUGUUUUGUUUUGCCAGUCAUGAGCAAUUUCCCUGCUCGAUAGUCAUGCUGUAUCCCUAUUUAAGCCCCUCUGUUGGCAUAAUGAUUGCUUAAAUACCUAAAAAUAUGCUGAUCUCUAGUGGCACAUGAGGGGCAAAAGAAAGAAAAGCAAAGCAAAACAAUGCAAAAUAAUUUUGGGAAAGCAUUUCAAAGCUAUCUGUAAAUGAUUUCCGUUUAUUUUUCUUAGGAAGAGAACGUUCUGCGGAAGAAAGCUUUUAAUCCUUACCAACGUGAUCAAGUUUAUAUCAAAUAAUUAUUUUUUUUUUUACAGAAAAACAGAUACUUACAGUCCCCUUCUUUCACUCAAGCAAUGCUGGAGACGUUACUGCAAGAAGAAAACCCUUUGCAGUGUCUGCUUUCUCCUUCCUCUUAACCUUUCUCUAUAAAUGCAGAGCUAUAUAUAUGUUUUCCCUUACCUUUUUUUCCCUCCAGAACAAAUUCAGGCUGCCUACACAAUAAGCCCAGCAGUGAGCUGAGAUGCAUUUUGCCUUCCCAAGCUGCUCCAAGCAGAGCGCACAUUCCCGCUGGGUGCACUCAUGGCACAACGUCCCCAAGCCGACGCGGCACUGCCAGCCCUCCCAGCCCUCCCAGGGCUCAGCUCCUGCUGAAUGCAAUGCCUCUGAGCAGCUUCUCCUCCCUUUGCUCACCCCCGAACUUUUCUACCUAAAACAGCAUAAAUAUUAUUGCCAAAUGCUAGGAGACCGCAAAAGGAAAGGCAGGGCGAUGUCGGGUUAUAAUGUCUGUUCUUCAGCUCCCUCCUCCGGCUUCUGUCUCCUGAUUUAAUAGAAGAAAAAGAAUUUAGAAACGUGGAAAAUCUCUUCUCCGGUGCCUAGCACCAAAAUUUAGUCUAUUCUUCCUCCCUCACGCAUAUGCAGUUUCCCCACAGGCAUAGCAUGGAAGGGCUCUUCCUAAAUAAUACUCAAAAAGGGUCACAUCAGAAGGCAUGAGAUUAGCUCAGUGCACCUAAACCUUUUGCAGGAAUAAAGAUAUUUCUCAUUCAUCUCUUCUCCAGACACCCAGUCAAUAAUUUAGAGAAAAAUUCCUCAAUUACUCCAUUCACUUAAAAGAUAUCAAUAUCAUACUUGGGAGAAAAUCCUGUAAAAUUCAGUGCAGUCAAGUGCUGACUUUAAUGUUGCCUCUUCAGAGGAUGUGGAGCUGAGGCUUGCAUGAGAUUCCCUUGCCUGCAAAACACAGAGGAAAAGAACAGACAGCACUGGGAGAUCCCCUGGCCCUCCAGGAAAAGAGGCAGAAAUGAAAAGACUAGGCUUCUAC
RNAcentral lists this long non-coding RNA (15449 nucleotides) under Gallus gallus (chicken). Its description in RNAcentral is "lncRNA (ENSGALG00010003168.1)". Lineage: Eukaryota; Metazoa; Chordata; Aves; Galliformes; Phasianidae. The record is from RNAcentral.